CGGUGUGAGUAGGUUACAUGCGGUGCAGUAUGGCAGUGGAAAAUGCUGCAUCCCGUGUGACCUCCUUACACAGU
Molecule: microRNA precursor, 74 nt
Filed under: Ornithorhynchus anatinus (platypus)
Lineage: Eukaryota; Metazoa; Chordata; Mammalia; Monotremata; Ornithorhynchidae
Description: mir-1421 microRNA precursor family
Rfam family: mir-1421 microRNA precursor family
Source: Rfam by way of RNAcentral